ACACAAAUGGGUGUCUACACUAGUGCUAUAUCCAUCACCUUUAAUCACCUUGAUACUCCAGACGUUUCUACUCCUCUUCCUCACUUUAUAAUUCACUUUAACUUUUAUAUCCUCUUAAUCUUUGAUAUUAUCUAUUUGCUUCUUUGAUUAUUUUUUUCAAAUAAACAAAAAAAAAAAAAAAAAAUUAAGCAACAACCACCUUCCCUCUAGUGUCGUUCGAUGCAACUUCACGCCUCUUAAUGGCUCAAUUUGAGUGUCUAAAUUGCAAGAUCUGAAGCAUAAUAAUACUUUGUAUGUUUUAAGAGUAUACUUUUUGUAUGAAUUUUUUCUUUUCUUUUUGCUUGGAUUUUGACUUUGAAUGAUAACUCAUUUCCGAAAACAGAUUCAGAGAUUGAAUUGGAUGAAGAUGGCAAAUAAAAGUUUAUGAGAAGAAAGAUAUAGAUAUAUAAUUAUAUGUACUCAUCUUAAGUUAGUUUUAUGUAACCAAAGAAUUGCAAGUUUAUAAAUUGCAAAUAUUUGGUAUAUUUGAAUGCUAUAUUUGUUGUACUUUUAUGAAGUGUGAUUGUAUAACUUGUUGAAGCAAGUAUGAAAAGUUGUAUGAUAUAUCUUGAAUUGUACUUU
Molecule: long non-coding RNA, 621 nt
Organism: Chenopodium quinoa (quinoa)
Lineage: Eukaryota; Viridiplantae; Streptophyta; Magnoliopsida; Caryophyllales; Amaranthaceae
Exons: 2
Source: RefSeq, a predicted model, not a curated record